GAGAUUAUUGGGCCUAAGCAUCCGUAGCCGGCUCUGUAAGUCCUCGGUUAAAUCUGUACGCUUAACGUACAGGCUGCCGGGAAUACUGCAUAGCUAGGGAGUGGGAGAGGUAGACGGUACUCGGUAGGAAGGGGUAAAAUCCUUUGAUCUAUUGAUGACCACCUGUGGCGAAGGCGGUCUACCAGAACACGUCCGACGGUGAGGGAUGAAAGCUGGGGGAGCAAACCGGAUUAGAUACCCGGGUAGUCCCAGCUGUAAACUAUGCAAACUCAGUGAUGCAUUGGCUUGUGGCCAAUGCAGUGCUGCAGGGAAGCCGUUAAGUUUGCCGCCUGGGAAGUACGUACGCAAGUAUGAAACUUAAAGGAAUUGGCGGGGGAGCACA
This 382-nucleotide ribosomal RNA is filed under the name uncultured archaeon. RNAcentral's name for it is "bacterial SSU rRNA". It matches the Rfam family "Archaeal small subunit ribosomal RNA", at positions 497 to 880 of the family's 1478-position model. The record is from RNAcentral.